UAAGGAUACUGCCAGUGACAAACUGGAGGAAGGCGGGGACGACGUCAGGUCAUCAUGGCCCUUACGGCCAGGGCUACACACGUGCUACAAUGGUCGGUACAAAGGGUUGCUACACAGCGAUGUGAUGCUAAUCUCAAAAAGCCGAUCGUAGUCCGGAUUGGAGUCUGCAACUCGACUCCAUGAAGUCGGAAUCGCUAGUAAUCGCGGAUCAGAAUGCCGCGGUGAAUACGUUCCCGGGCCUUGUACACACCGCCCGUCACACCAUGGGAGUUUGUUGCACCAGAAGUAGCUAGCCUAA
Molecule: ribosomal RNA, 298 nt
Filed under: Acinetobacter baumannii Canada BC-5
Lineage: Bacteria; Pseudomonadati; Pseudomonadota; Gammaproteobacteria; Moraxellales; Moraxellaceae
Description: partial 16S ribosomal RNA
Rfam family: Bacterial small subunit ribosomal RNA
Source: RNAcentral